GACGAACGCUGGCGGCGUGCUUAACACAUGCAAGUCGAGCGGUAAGGCCCUUCGGGUACGACGAGCGGCGAACGGGUGAGUAACACGUGGGUGACCUGCCUUUAGCUCUGGGAUAAGCCUGGGAAACUGGGUCUAAUACCGGAUAUGACCUCAUGACGCAUGUUGUGGGGUGGAAAGCCUUGUGCGGCUAGAGAUGGGCCCGCGGCCUAUCAGCUUGUUGGUGGGGUGAUGGCCACCAAGGCGACGACGGGUAGCCGGCCUGAGAGGGCGACCGGCCACACCGGGACUGAGACACGGCCCAGACUCCUACGGGAGGCAGCAGUGGGGAAUCUUGCGCAAUGGGCGAAAGCCUGACGCAGCGACGCCGCGUGA
RNAcentral lists this ribosomal RNA (372 nucleotides) under uncultured bacterium. RNAcentral describes it as "bacterial SSU rRNA". It matches the Rfam family "Bacterial small subunit ribosomal RNA", at positions 28 to 404 of the family's 1533-position model. The record is from RNAcentral.